AGGUAGGGUGAGUAUAGUAAAAAAUUUCUUCGCGAUUAGUUCUUGGGUCGAUAGAAGUGAAACUCAAUAUCUGACCUUUAGGCUGUUAGUUGUUGAGUUCACAUAAAAAAGUAUUCAGUUCCUUCCUUGAGCCUUGAUUGCUCUCUCUUUGUGCUUGAUGGAUUGAAAAUAAGUUUUGCAUUCAUAUGCCAUAUUCAUAGUCCAUAAUAGGCCUUCAGGAGUUUUGAAGAAAGGCUGAUGAAGAAUAAACAAUGAAUAUGUAUCUCGAGCUUUAAGAGCAGGCUUCUUCUAGAUAUGAUAUUUUCU
RNAcentral lists this unclassified non-coding RNA (306 nucleotides) under Hevea brasiliensis (rubber tree). Lineage: Eukaryota; Viridiplantae; Streptophyta; Magnoliopsida; Malpighiales; Euphorbiaceae. The record is from RNAcentral.